This 301-nucleotide ribosomal RNA is filed under the name uncultured bacterium. Its description in RNAcentral is "partial 16S ribosomal RNA". It matches the Rfam family "Bacterial small subunit ribosomal RNA", at positions 509 to 807 of the family's 1533-position model. The record is from RNAcentral.
CAGUAGCCGCGGGAAUACGUAGGUGGCAAGCGUCGUCCGGAAUUAUUGGGCGUAAAGGGCUCGCAGGCGGUUUCUUAAGUCUGAUGUGAAAGCCCCCGGCUCAACCGGGGAGUGUCAUUGGAAACUGGGAAACUUGAGUGCAGAAGAGGAGAGUGGAAUUCCACGUGUAGCGGUGAAAUGCGUAGAGAUGUGGAGGAACACCAGUGGCGAAGGCGACUCUCUGGUCUGUAACUGACGCUGAGGAGCGAAAGCGUGGGGAGCGAACAGGAUUAGAUACCCGUGUAGUCCCUGUCUCUUAUAC